CCUACGGGUGGCAGCAGUGGGGAAUAUUGCACAAUGGGCGAAAGCCUGAUGCAGCAACGCCGCGUGAAGGAAGAAGGGUUUCGGCUCGUAAACUUCUAUCAACAGGGACGAAAGAAAUGACGGUACCUGAAUAAGAAGUCUCGGCUAACUACGUGCAUGCACCCGCGGUAAUACGUAGGGGGCAAGCGUUAUCCGGAAUUACUGGGUGUAAAGGGUGAGUAGGCGGGAUGGUAAGCCAGAUGUGAAAGCCUUGGGCUUAACCCGAGGAUUGCAUUUGAAACUAUCAAGCUAGAGUACAGGAGAGGAAAGCGGAAUUCGUAGUGUAGCGGUGAAAUGCGUAGAUAUUAGGAAGAACACCGGUGGCGAAGGCAGCUUUCUGGCUGGAAACUGACGCUGAGGUGCGAAAGCGUGGGUAGCAAACAGGAUUAGAUACCCUGGUAGUC
RNAcentral lists this ribosomal RNA (443 nucleotides) under uncultured bacterium. Its description in RNAcentral is "partial 16S ribosomal RNA". It matches the Rfam family "Bacterial small subunit ribosomal RNA", at positions 338 to 795 of the family's 1533-position model. The record is from RNAcentral.